CCUACGGGGGGCAGCAGUGGGGGAUAUUGCACAAUGGGGGAAACCCUGAUGCAGCGACGCCGCGUGGGUGAAGAAGCGCCUCGGCGCGUAAAGCCCUGUCAGCAGGGAAGAAAAUGACGGUACCUGAAGAAGAAGCCCCGGCUAACUACGUGCCAGCAGCCGCGGUAAUACGUAGGGGGCAAGCGUUAUCCGGAUUUACUGGGUGUAAAGGGGGCGCAGACGGCGAUGCAAGCCAGGCGUGAAAGCCCGGGGCCCAACCCCGGGACUGCUCUUGGAACUGCGUGGCUAGAGUGCAGGAGGGGCAGGCGGAAUGCCUGGUGUAGCGGUGAAAUGCGUAGAUAGCGGGCGGAACACCGGUGGCGAAGGCGGCCUGCUGGACUGCAACUGACGUUGAGGCCCGAAAGCGUGGGGAGCAAACAGGAUUAGAUACCCUGGUAGUC
This 440-nucleotide ribosomal RNA is filed under the name uncultured bacterium. RNAcentral describes it as "partial 16S ribosomal RNA". It matches the Rfam family "Bacterial small subunit ribosomal RNA", at positions 338 to 795 of the family's 1533-position model. The record is from RNAcentral.